RNAcentral lists this ribosomal RNA (374 nucleotides) under uncultured organism. RNAcentral describes it as "partial 16S ribosomal RNA". It matches the Rfam family "Bacterial small subunit ribosomal RNA", at positions 527 to 896 of the family's 1533-position model. The record is from RNAcentral.
GUAGGUGGCAAGCGUUGUCCGGAAUUAUUGGGCGUAAAGCGCGCGCAGGCGGUUCUUUAAGUCUGAUGUGAAAGCCCACGGCUCAACCGUGGGGGGUCAUUGGAAACUGGAGAACUUGAGUACAGAAGAGGAAAGCGGAAUUCCACGUGUAGCGGUGAAAUGCGUAGAGAUGUGGAGGAACACCAGUGGCGAAGGCGGCUUUCUGGUCUGUAACUGACGCUGAGGCGCGAAAGCGUGGGGAGCAAACAGGGAUUAGAUACCCUGGUAGUCCACGCCGUAAACGAUGAGUGCUAAGUGUUAGGGGGGUUUCCGCCCCCUUAGUGCUGCAGCUAACGCAUUAAACACUCCGCCUGGGGAGUACGACCGCAAGGUUG